UCGAGCGGGGAUAGGGUGCUUGCACCUGAUUCCUAGCGGCGGACGGGUGAGUAAUGCUUAGGAAUCUGCCUAUUAGUGGGGGACAACGUUCCGAAAGGGACGCUAAUACCGCAUACGUCCUACGGGAGAAAGCAGGGGAUCUUCGGACCUUGCGCUAAUAGAUGAGCCUAAGUCGGAUUAGCUAGUUGGUGGGGUAAAGGCCUACCAAGGCGACGAUCUGUAGCGGGUCUGAGAGGAUGAUCCGCCACACUGGGACUGAGACACGGCCCAGACUCCUACGGGAGGCAGCAGUGGGGAAUAUUGGACAAUGGGGGCAACCCUGAUCCAGCCAUGCCGCGUGUGUGAAGAAGGCCUUUUGGUUGUAAAGCACUUUAAGCGAGGAGGAGGCUUACCUGGUUAAUACCUGGGAUAAGUGGACGUUACUCGCAGAAUAAGCACCGGCUAACUCUGUGCCAGCAGCCGCGGUAAUACAGAGGGUGCAAGCGUUAAUCGGAUUUACUGGGCGUAAAGCGCGCGUAGGUGGCUAAUUAAGUCAAAUGUGAAAUCCCCGAGCUUAACUUGGGAAUUGCAUUCGAUACUGGUUAGCUAGAGUAUGGGAGAGGAUGGUAGAAUUCCAGGUGUAGCGGUGAAAUGCGUAGAGAUCUGGAGGAAUACCGAUGGCGAAGGCAGCCAUCUGGCCUAAUACUGACACUGAGGUGCGAAAGCAUGGGGAGCAAACAGGAUUAGAUACCCUGGUAGUCCAUGCCGUAAACGAUGUCUACUAGCCGUUGGGGCCCUUG
Molecule: ribosomal RNA, 779 nt
Filed under: Acinetobacter towneri
Lineage: Bacteria; Pseudomonadati; Pseudomonadota; Gammaproteobacteria; Moraxellales; Moraxellaceae
Description: bacterial SSU rRNA
Rfam family: Bacterial small subunit ribosomal RNA
Source: RNAcentral